This 300-nucleotide ribosomal RNA is filed under the name uncultured Allobosea sp. RNAcentral's name for it is "bacterial SSU rRNA". The stretch from base 52 to 300 matches the Rfam family "Bacterial small subunit ribosomal RNA", at positions 547 to 795 of the family's 1533-position model. The record is from RNAcentral. Lineage: Bacteria; Pseudomonadati; Pseudomonadota; Alphaproteobacteria; Hyphomicrobiales; Alloboseaceae.
GAGACGUGCGUGAGAGGUGCGGAGGUAGUGCGGAGGGGGGAAGCGUGGAUCGGAGUUAUUGGGCGUACAGCGCGGGUAGGGGGUCUGACAGGUGAGAUGUGAAAACUUGGGGCUCAACCUCGAGACGUCGGUUGAAACCGUACGGCUAGAGUCCGGAAGAGGAGAGUGGAAUUCCCGGUGUAGCGGUGAAAUGCGCAGAUAUCGGGAAGAACACCCGUGGCGAAGGCGGCUCCCUGGGACGGUACUGACGUUGAGACGCGAAAGCGUGGGGAGCGAACAGGAUUAGAUACCCUGGUAGUC